This 119-nucleotide ribosomal RNA is filed under the name Pteropus alecto (black flying fox). Lineage: Eukaryota; Metazoa; Chordata; Mammalia; Chiroptera; Pteropodidae. The record is from RNAcentral.
GUCUAUGGCCAUGCCACCCUGAACAAUCUCUAUCCUGUCUGAUCUCGGAAGCUAAGUAGGAUUGGACCUGGUUAGUACUUGGAUGGGAGACCACCUAGGAAGACCAGGUGCUGUAGGUG